UACGAAGGGGACUAGCGUUGUUCGGAAUUAUUGGGCGUAAAGCGCGCGUAGGCGGCUACUUAAGUCGGAUGUGAAAGCCCCUGGCUCAACUGGGGAACUGCGUGUGAUACUGGAUGGCUUGGAUUUGGGAGAGGGAUGCGGAAUUCCAGGUGUAGCGGUGAAAUGCGUAGAUAUCUGGAGGAACACCGGUGGCGAAGGCGGCAUCCUGGACCAAUAUUGACGCUGAGGAGCGAAAGCCAGGGGAGCAAACGGG
RNAcentral lists this ribosomal RNA (253 nucleotides) under uncultured bacterium. Its description in RNAcentral is "partial 16S ribosomal RNA". It matches the Rfam family "Bacterial small subunit ribosomal RNA", at positions 524 to 776 of the family's 1533-position model. The record is from RNAcentral.